This 258-nucleotide ribosomal RNA is filed under the name uncultured Glomeraceae. RNAcentral's name for it is "partial small subunit ribosomal RNA". It matches the Rfam family "Eukaryotic small subunit ribosomal RNA", at positions 624 to 886 of the family's 1831-position model. The record is from RNAcentral. Lineage: Eukaryota; Fungi; Glomeromycota; Glomeromycetes; Glomerales; Glomeraceae.
AAGCUCGUAGUUGAAUUUCGGGAUUAGUACGCUGGUCGUGCCUUCGGUACGUACUGGUGUUACUGAUUCCUACCUUCUGACGAACCAUCAUGUCAUUCAUUUGGUGUGGUGGGGAAUCAGGACUGUUACUUUGAAAAAAUUAGAGUGUUUAAAGCAGGCUCGCGCUUGAAUACAUUAGCAUGGAAUAAUGAAAUAGGACGUUUGACCCUAUUUUGUUGGUUUCUAGGAUCGACGUAAUGAUUAAUAGGGAUAGUUGGG